AGAUAUUUCAUAUCUGUGAUUCUUAAAGAAUCAUUUAGUUCAUUUAUAUUUUGUUUGCAUACUAAAUUAUUUAGGAUUAAGUCUAUAAUCUUAUUUUGUGCUUUCCAGUUGUCCUGCAUGUUAUAUUUCCCCCUUUCUUUUGGAUUGAUUACAUAGCUUUCUCUCAUUCUGUUUCUUCUCACCCUUUGUCAGUCUGUUGGUUAUAGCCUGUGUUUUUGUACUUUUAGUGAUUGUUCCAGAAAUUGAAGCAUUUGUUUCUAAGUUAUCAAAAUCUAAUAUUCAGGAACCUUCAUCUGCAAAAGACAAAGUCUUUAGACCCUCAACUAUAUUUACCCCAACCAAACCUAUAUGUUAUUACUGCUAUUUAUUUCCAACAUAUCUUUUUAAAAAAUAUUUUUUAGUUAUCAAUGGACCUUUAUUUUAUUCAUUCACAUGUGAUGCUGAGAAUCAAAUCCAGUGUCUCACAUAUACUAGCAAGUGCUCUACCACUGAGCCACAACCCUGCUCUUCCUAUAUAUCUUAAACUCAGAAAUCAUAAUUAUCAUUUUAUAAUGUUUUUGUAUUUUUUGCUCUCAUACCUUCCAUCUGGGCUCACAUUACUAAUAA
Molecule: long non-coding RNA, 606 nt
Filed under: Marmota monax (woodchuck)
Lineage: Eukaryota; Metazoa; Chordata; Mammalia; Rodentia; Sciuridae
Source: RNAcentral